Molecule: long non-coding RNA, 549 nt
Organism: Oryza sativa Japonica Group (Japanese rice)
Lineage: Eukaryota; Viridiplantae; Streptophyta; Magnoliopsida; Poales; Poaceae
Source: RefSeq, a predicted model, not a curated record
UGGAGAGGUAGCUGCUGGGCAGGGCACCGGCCGCUGCCUCACGUGUGGGAAAGCUGUAGCCCUCCUAAGCCUCCUCCACUGUGGCCGCUACGUUCGUUCCGGUCCUCUCCUCCGCCGAGCGCGCCCGGCGUUGGGCUUCCCAAAUAGCCUGUCUAUUGCUGCACUAGGCUCUUCCAAUUUUUGCAAAUGGCAACUCCCGAGCCCAUUGCUCGGCUUAUUUCCCAUGUCAUUCUGGAUUUAGAUGGUACCCUCUUAAACACAGAUUGUGUUGUAAGUCAAGUGCUGAAACCGUUUCUAGUCAAAAAUGGGAAAAAGUGGGAUAGCAAGAAAGCUCACAAAUUAGUUGGAAAGACACCUUAUGAAGCAGCAGCUGUUGUUUUAGAAGAUUAUGGACUCCCUUACUCAACAGAAGAAUUUCUCUCAAUGCUUACUCCAAAUGUUCAAUGAACAGUACUGUUGCUGAAACUUCUUAGCACUCAUAUAACCUGCAUUUUGUAAAUUGCAUACUGCCAUGCUAUCUCAAUGGAGAAUCUUCGUACAUUUCUCUAU